UGGGGAAUAUUGCACAAUGGGCGCAAGCCUGAUGCAGCGACGCCGCGUGAGGGAUGACGGCCUUCGGGUUGUAAACCUCUUUCAGCUCCGACGAAGCGCAAGUGACGGUAGGAGCAGAAGAAGCACCGGCCAACUACGUGCCAGCAGCCGCGGUAAUACGUAGGGUGCAAGCGUUGUCCGGAAUUACUGGGGGUAAAAAGCUCGUAGGCGGUUUGUCGCGUCGUCUGUGAAAUUCUGCAGCUUAACUGCAGGCGUGCAGGCGAUACGGGCAGACUUGAGUACUACAGGGGAGACUGGAAUUCCUGGUGUAGCGGUGAAAUGCGCAGAUAUCAGGAGGAACACCGGUGGCGAAGGCGGGUCUCUGGGUAGUAACUGACGCUGAGGAGCGAAAGCGUGGGUAGCGAACAGG
This 409-nucleotide ribosomal RNA is filed under the name Actinomycetes bacterium. Its description in RNAcentral is "Actinobacteria bacterium partial 16S ribosomal RNA". It matches the Rfam family "Bacterial small subunit ribosomal RNA", at positions 355 to 776 of the family's 1533-position model. Lineage: Bacteria; Bacillati; Actinomycetota; Actinomycetes. The record is from RNAcentral.